Molecule: long non-coding RNA, 178 nt
Organism: Haemorhous mexicanus (house finch)
Lineage: Eukaryota; Metazoa; Chordata; Aves; Passeriformes; Fringillidae
Exons: 3
Source: RefSeq, a predicted model, not a curated record
GCCGCCAGGAAGAAUCAGGAGAGGGUCCCCCUGGAUCCCCCGGACACCCCAGAGGAGGGGCAGGUGCUGUACACCCACGUCGUGGUCACCAAGAGGGCAGGGGUGUCCCCCCGUGCCACCACCCUCCAGGAUCCACAGGUGACCUACGCGGAGCUGCAGGGACACCAGGGGCGACCGU